Molecule: ribosomal RNA, 506 nt
Filed under: uncultured bacterium
Lineage: Bacteria
Description: partial 16S ribosomal RNA
Rfam family: Bacterial small subunit ribosomal RNA
Source: RNAcentral
GAUGAACGCUAGCUACAGGCUUAACACAUGCAAGUCGAGGGGUAACGAGAGGAAAGCUUGCUUUCCUUGUCGACGACCGGCGCACGGGUGAGUAACGCGUAUCCAACCUGCCCCCAACUAGGGAAUAACCUUGCGAAAGUAAGACUAAUACCCUAUAAUUUCCUCAGAUGACAUCUGACGAGGAAUAAAGAUUUAUCGGUUGUGGAUGGGGAUGCGUCUGAUUAGCUUGUUGGCGGGGUAACGGCCCACCAAGGCAACGAUCAGUAGGGGUUCUGAGAGGAAGGUCCCACACAUUGGAACUGAGACACGGUCCAAACGCCUACGGGAGGCAGCAGUGAGGAAUAUUGGUCAAUGGGCGGAAGCCUGAACCAGCCAAGUAGCGUGCAGGAUGACCGCCCUAUGGGUUGUAAACUGCUUUUAUACAGGAAUAAAGUUAGCCACGUGUGGUUAUUUGUAGGUACUGUAUGAAUAAGGACCGGCUAAUUCCGUGCCAGCCGCCGCAGUAA